This 406-nucleotide ribosomal RNA is filed under the name uncultured bacterium. RNAcentral's name for it is "partial 16S ribosomal RNA". It matches the Rfam family "Bacterial small subunit ribosomal RNA", at positions 29 to 526 of the family's 1533-position model. The record is from RNAcentral.
AUUGAACGCUGGCGGCAGGCCUAACACAUGCAAGUCGAACGAGUGGCGGACGGGUGAGUAAUGUCUGGGAAACUGCCCGAUGGAGGGGGAUAACUACUGGAAACGGUAGCUAAUACCGCAUCCCAUCAGAUGUGCCCAGCUGGGAUUAGCUAGUAGGGGGGGUAAUGGCUCACCUAGGGGGCGAUCCCUAGCUGGUCUGAGAGGAUGACCAGCAACGCUGGGACUGAGACACGGUCCAGCCGCCUACGGUGGGAAGCGGUGGGGAAUAUUGGAUAAAGGGCGAAAGCCGGAUGCAGCCAUGGCGCGUGGAUGAGGAGGGCCUUCGGGUUGUAAAGUACUUUCAGCGAGGAGACGUUACUCGCAGAAGAAGCACCGGCUAACUCCGUGCCAGCAGCCGCGGUAAUAC